This 517-nucleotide long non-coding RNA is filed under the name Rosa chinensis. RNAcentral's name for it is "sRNA RchiOBHm_Chr2g0144511". The record is from RNAcentral. Lineage: Eukaryota; Viridiplantae; Streptophyta; Magnoliopsida; Rosales; Rosaceae.
GCUUGUGAUACCAGUGACCUGGGUUUGGGGAGUUUUGACCGGAAAAGCUCGAUUUCACUCCGGGAAGGAGAUCAUUUUGCCUAAGGUCUUGCUUCUCAAUAUGCCGUGUAGAGGUGGAAUCGAUCGAACCCGAUUCUAGGGUUCUUGAGCUUUUCUGGAAAAUUUUCACCGGUUCGAUUCGGCCACGUAGAGGACGAGAGGAGUCUCCAUACGAGGAAAAUACCGAGCGACGUCAGGAUUGAGCAUAUAUUUUUUCAGUGUUGCUGCUCGGCGUCCUGAAGUGAGCCAUAGUGACCGCAUCCGCUUCCGUCAUCAUAAUUUGUAGGUUAUUUAUUUAGCCUACUGUACUCUGUGUUAAACUUAUAUUCCUAGAAUGCUCUGAUUACUAAGGGAUAUGUGACCCAAACUUGUACGAAUUAUAUUUGAGGUCUAUGACCUAACUUUGGUGAUUGUAGUAACUUAUACCCUUUGGAGAUUAUGUUUGAUGCUGUUAGUUUUUGAGAUGGGAUUGAAGUGA